Long non-coding RNA from Neodiprion fabricii, 814 nucleotides. RefSeq lists it as uncharacterized. The transcript has 3 exons. NCBI's taxonomy places the organism in Eukaryota, Metazoa, Arthropoda, Insecta, Hymenoptera, Diprionidae. The record is from RefSeq and is a predicted model, not a curated record.
UCUCCCCUGUAGCGCGAUUCUGUAACUCGUUAUGCUGUCGUUAUGGACUCAUAACGACAAGUUUCGUUAUGCUACCGACCGCGUCGCUAUUAUAACGACAAAUGCGAUUCUGUACACUAUUCUUAGCGAGUUUUGUCGUUAUUAGUAACGAAAAGUGUCGUUAUGAUGUCGUUACGGUGCGAGCGGAUAGCGAGGCUCAGAGACCCCCUCGGUACGCUAUAACGACACUUUGCACACGAGUUAGAGGAGUGGUGUGCGUUUCCCAUAUUUUUCUCGACUCCGAGAAAGUGCUUCGAAAAGUGCUCCGAAAGUAAAAAAUAAUUACGCCGUUUGAAAUAACCAGUAAGAUCAUGGCUAUCGAAUACCUUGCUUGGGAUGUAUUCGUUCUUGAGGAAAGAUUACGUCGACUCGAACGUCGUGUGGAAAGAAGGCGACUGAGAGAUGCUCAGAAUCCGUUUCAGCUACCACGAGAAGAGUUUCUCAGCCUUUUUCGCCUGCCUCAAGAAGCUGUGAUGAAUCUUGGUUAACACCUUAAGCGCAGUCAAAGCGAAAAUAUUUUUCACUGUUCAGCAAAGCAGCAUAGGUGAUGCUGGAUAUCCAUUGGAGCCUUGGCUGUUAACACCUCUGGCCAAUUUUUCUGAAGAUACGCGACAACAUCAAUAUACACAACAACUAUGUAAGGCUAGAAGCGUCGUCGAGCGGUUUUUUGGAGUUUUUAAAUCUGUAUGGAGAUGCUUGUCAUACCAGCGAGUCUUGAUGUACGAACCAGCGUUCGCAGCGAAAAUUGUUAAUGCGUGUGCAGUACUGCACAACA